GGCGGAGAAGAGGAAGACAUGAUCGAACCAGAGAUCCCUGAUACCAGAUUGAUAGGAAUCAGAUCCCUACCGAGGUGUGGGCGUAGAUUGUAGGCGUGGGAAGGGGGUGGUCGGAGCUGGAUGCGCGCCCGACGGCUCUUGGGCGCCGUGGUCGCGCGAGGGGAGGAGGAACGUGGCGCAAGGAAAGGAACAGGGGCGGCUAGGGUUUAGGUCUCCCGGCUCCCUCAAGGAAGGCGAGCAGAUUGAUUGCUCUUGCUUGCCAAACCAAGUACUUUACAAUGUUUAUAAAGGAAUAAAGCAGAUAACUGGGCCGAGCCCAUCUAAUCUCCUGCGCCUAGCCACUAGCGGGCCUCCUCCUAGCAUAUUGCACGCCUGUCAUAACAGCAUUGUUUCUCAUUUCUUUCAGUCUUCUUAACAUCAAAGAUCGGUAAUAUGUAAAACACACAAACAAAACUAUGGAGCUGAAAUUUGCAUUUUGGUUAAAUCUGAUAGAAUUUUCUUCAUAUACAGGGCAUCAGUGAUGUGAUGCCAUUCACAUAUCAUCUUAAUAUUGUGUAAACUUGUAUAACUGAAGUUGAGUCUUCUCCUAUGCUUUUAGCAAGUUUUUCCUUAUUAUCCUUUCAUGGCAUUUAUUCUAUCUCUCAAGCUCCUAUCAGAACCUUUUUUUGUUUACUAAUUUAUGUUCAGCCUCAUGAUGUUGAUGCUCUAGCUGUACCAACCAUGUGAAUCAUUGCACAGAUGACUAGCACAUCCAAUUAUGCAUUGUGUGCUCCAAACAAGUUAUUCUUUGAACCGAUGUUAAAAAAGAUUCUUGAAUCUAAUUUUUCUUUUGAUGGUAGAGCAGAAUGAAGCUUUGAAGCAUGUUGGGUGACAGAAAUUGUUCUAGCUAUCAAUUACUGUCCACAGACCACAGGAUAUGUACAACUUCCUGAUGGAUUCUGUGGAGGAUCUUGGUGAGUAAAUCACAUACUCAUGAGAGACAGAGCCCUAGGGACGCUGGCCCUCUUGUUCUUGCCAGGGAUAAGCUUGUGGAUGGAUCUGGUGAACCUUCUUUCGUCCUAAACUGCGAUAUCAUUUUGAAUA
Molecule: long non-coding RNA, 1083 nt
Organism: Panicum virgatum (switchgrass)
Lineage: Eukaryota; Viridiplantae; Streptophyta; Magnoliopsida; Poales; Poaceae
Exons: 2
Source: RefSeq, a predicted model, not a curated record